AAGUCGUAACAAGGUUUCCGUAGGUGAACCUGCGGAAGGAUCAUUGCAAAUCAAAGAUUGGGAUGAUAUGAUGCGAUAAGUGUGUGGUGGGUUUGUUUGAGAGCGAUUUUGAACCGUAAGGUUUGAGAGCGAUCUUGACAUUUUGCUGCUACUUGUUGCUUCAAUUUCAUUUUCAUAUACGCACAGCGUGCUUGGAUUUAGAGAGUGAAAAUUCUCUUUGUCCAAACACACUGAUGUUUACGCUUGUUUGUUUGACAAAUCUAUUACAUUUAAAUAUUCAAAACUUUUAACAACGGAUCUCUUGGCUCUU
This 310-nucleotide unclassified non-coding RNA is filed under the name fungal sp. RNAcentral's name for it is "partial internal transcribed spacer region". The stretch from base 1 to 46 matches the Rfam family "Eukaryotic small subunit ribosomal RNA", at positions 1786 to 1831 of the family's 1831-position model. The record is from RNAcentral. Lineage: Eukaryota; Fungi.